RNAcentral lists this long non-coding RNA (231 nucleotides) under Gossypium barbadense (sea-island cotton). Its description in RNAcentral is "long non-coding RNA (GBAR_LNC001401)". The record is from RNAcentral. Lineage: Eukaryota; Viridiplantae; Streptophyta; Magnoliopsida; Malvales; Malvaceae.
CCGUAUUUUAUGAGAUGUUUAAGUUUUCGUGAAACAGGUCCAGAGCGAACUCUGGAUCCCCUGUUCUGAAUUUGGAAAUUCAUUAUAAAUAAACCAGAGAUAAUUAGAAGUCAUACCAUAUAUGUAUAGAUUCCUUUUCGAGUCUAGUUUCUUUAGAAACAAACGAAAUAAGUAUUGAAGCCCUGUACAAGGACAUAUCUAAGUCGUAAUGCAUGAAGGUCAGAGUAGUCG